RNAcentral lists this non-coding RNA (28 nucleotides) under Bombyx mori (domestic silkworm). Lineage: Eukaryota; Metazoa; Arthropoda; Insecta; Lepidoptera; Bombycidae. The record is from RNAcentral.
UAGUGAUAAAAACAUAGCCUAUUCGGAU